RNAcentral lists this ribosomal RNA (492 nucleotides) under Ravinia derelicta. RNAcentral's name for it is "partial 16S ribosomal RNA". It matches the Rfam family "Bacterial large subunit ribosomal RNA", at positions 1898 to 2600 of the family's 2925-position model. Lineage: Eukaryota; Metazoa; Arthropoda; Insecta; Diptera; Sarcophagidae. The record is from RNAcentral.
AGUCUACCUGCCCACUGAAUUUAUUUAAAUGGCCGCAGUAUCCUAACUGUGCAAAGGUAGCAUAAUCAUUAGUCUUUUAAUUGAAGGCUGGUAUGAAUGGUUGGACGAGAUAUUAACUGUUUCAUAAAAAUUUAUAAUAGAAUUUUAUUUUUUAGUCAAAAAGCUAAAAUAAAAUUAAAAGACGAGAAGACCCUAUAAAUCUUUAUAUAUAAACUAUUAGAAUUUUGUAGAUUUUUUUUAUUAUAAUAGUUGAUUAUAUUUUAUUGGGGUGAUAUUAAAAUUUAAUAAACUUUUAAUUGUUUAAAUCAUUAAUUUAUGAAUAAUUGAUCCGUUAAUAACGAUUAAAAAAAUAAGUUACUUUAGGGAUAACAGCGUAAUUUUUUUGGAGAGUUCAUAUCGAUAAAAAAGAUUGCGACCUCGAUGUUGGAUUAAGAUAUAAUUUUAGGUGUAGCCGCUUAAAUUUUAAGUCUGUUCGACUUUUAAAUUCUUACA